AUGUCGUUUGAACUGCUCGAGGUUCCAUAUGAGGGCGCUCACAGGCGAGUGCAGAAUUAAUGGAGGUCUAUGGAGCUAUACCCCUCAAAAUCAACUUUUCUCAGGAUAUAAUUUUUUGUCGAGUAAUUUGAACGUUGCAUUCGAAAGGGCAGGCAAAGAAAAUACACACUGUUUGUGUGUUAAAAAAUGUUUAAAUCGCUUUUUUGUUCUAAAAAUACUUUUAAAAUGUCAAUGACGUCAUACAAUCAGCAUUCAUUAGCAGAAUGCUAGCGUGUUAUGGGCAACAACGACUCGCCCUGUAAGAAAUCGAAAGGACAUAAGUACUCGUUCAUUCAACUUUCGACCUAUAAUCCAUGUUGAACUUGCAAAAACUCCAAUCAAAUCUGAGAUUUCUCGACGACAAUCAGGCGAAAGAGACAAACUUAGCCGUUUAGCUCCAUAGACUCCCGUUAAUUUUGCACUCGCCCGCGAGUGGAACUCCGUAGACGGGCUCUGACAGCCCCAAGUCAAUGGACGCCAGGCUUCAACAGGGAAAUGCACUGUGACGCUACAGGAAAGUAUUGGAAGGAAAUAGAGUCAGUCUACCUGCUAGGCCUAUAUGUAUCUGACGAACUCAUCUUCGAGAUGAACGUGUUCUAACGCAUUUAAAAUGUUAACACAAUAGUAGGCUAAGUAGCCUAUUCAUUAUUUUUUAGGGGAAGCCGAGCUUCUUCUUCUUGCAGUCUUCUUCUUGCAGUCAGAAAGAAAUCGCCACUGGAGUAGCAGGACAAAGGUUGCUGUCUAGUUAAGCCACACAUGGAGGAGUUCUCGCCACCCUACUAUUGCAACAUUAUAUCCACGCCCAGAAGGCUAAAGUUUUAACUAUACCCCCGGCAAUCGGUAGUCAAGGUAAUCAGGACAACGAUAAGCUAUGCCCUGGGGAGAGCUGAGUUCCGGGAACUCACUAACACAAACGAAUCUUAUUUUGGUUGUGCCCAACACACAAGCCUUUGACAGUAGGAAGAGAGGACUGUUUCCGUGGACCGAGACAAGGAGGAAAGAUGCUGGGUUUUACACCCAACAUGAAGCUUUACAGCCUGUGCGUGAUAGGCGGACUACUACUGCCAGGUUUUUGAUCUGGGAUCGAAAGAGAAGAAAAGCCUUCUGAAAACGUCGAAUGAAGACCUUGCUGGAAACCAACGGUUUCUUUGAACCCGAGAUGGCGAGCCACCCACGCGAGUGAAACCUUCUGGAGCGAGUGCAAACUCUAGACGACGAUAAGUGAACUUUAUGCCAGAACCAAUCAUACCGAAAAGAAGUGAUUGAUCAUUUAUUUUGUUUACAAUUCGAAUCUUUUGUAAUUGAAUGCACUUUGAUGGUUUUGAGGACCCGUUAGUUGAUGUAAUGUUGUUUAUUUUUCUUGUUUUUGAUAUUGUAUAUUCUACUGUGUACCUUUUAAGGGAAACUAAAUACCGUAGUGUGGUUUAAACAUAUUUAAGGGUUUACUGAAUAACCAAGCUAAACCAAACAAUCUUAACUGAAGUAAGGUUUAAAAGAUAAUUAGGAAAUCUACAUUUAAAAUUAAUUUCUUUAAUGAAUGAAUGAUAAGUAAACUAAAAGUAUACAGUUAAAUAUCAUUCUAAAUUAGGAAAACCAUGGUAAAUAAAUAGAUAUCAAAUUAAGAAAUUCCAAGUCAAUUUACAUUCAUAACUAAACAGAUAUAUAGCAGCAUAUAAAAGAAUCACCACAUUUACUUCAAACAAAAUUCAUUGGAUUUAUUAUUUUUCAUACAUUCUGUAAAGUACUAAGUUGUAGUAGAUUUCAGAGUAGUUGGUUUGCUACAGAAAAUAAAUCUUUGUAAUCAUC
Molecule: long non-coding RNA, 1845 nt
Organism: Osmerus eperlanus (European smelt)
Lineage: Eukaryota; Metazoa; Chordata; Actinopteri; Osmeriformes; Osmeridae
Exons: 2
Source: RefSeq, a predicted model, not a curated record